UUUACGGAGAGUUUGAUCCUGGCUCAGAACGAACGCUGGCGGCGCGCUUAAUACAUGCAAGUCGUGCGAGAAAGUCCGCUUCGGUGGGCGAGUAAAGCGGCGAACGGGUGCGUAACACGUGGGCAACUUGCCCUUUGGUUUGGGAUAAGCCACCGAAAGGGGGUCUAAUACCGAAUAAUAUCUUUCCUUCACAUGUGGGAAAGCUUAAAGAUCGCUUGCGAUCGCCAGAGGAUAGGCCCGCGGCCUAUUAGCUUGUUGGUGAGAUAAUAGCUUACCAAGGCAACGAUGGGUAGCCGUCCUGAGAGGGUGAACGGCCACACUGGGACUGAGAUACGGCCCAGACUCCUACGGGAGGCAGCAGUAGGGAAUAUUGCGCAAUGCCCGAAAGGGUGACGCAGCGACGCCGCGUGGGCGAUGAAGCUCCUUGGAGUGUAAAGCCCUGUCAGAAGGGAAGAACCGCACAGUAGUGAACUGCUGUGCCUGACGGUACCUUCAGAGGAAGCUCCGGCUAACUCCGUGCCAGCAGCCGCGGUAAUACGGAGGGAGCAAGCGUUGUUCGGAAUCACUGGGCGUAAAGGGCGCGCAGGCGGACCGGUAAGUCAGAUGUGAAAUCCCGAGGCUUAACCUCGGGUCUGCAUUUGAUACUGUCGGUCUUGAGUACGAGAGAGGAAAGCGGAAUCCCAGGUGGAGCGGUGAAAUGCGUAGAUAUCUGGGAGAACACCGGUGGCGAAGGCGGCUUUCUGGCUCGAUACUGACGCUCAGGCGCGAAGGCUAGGGGAGCAAACAGGAUUAGAUACCCUGGUAGUCCUAGCGGUAAACGAUGGGCACUAGGUGUUGGAGGUCUUACUCCUUCAGUGCCGCAGUUAACGCAUUAAGUGCCCCGCCUGGGGAGUACGGUCGCAAGAUUGAAACUCAAAGGAAUUGACGGGAGCCCGCACAAGCAGUGGAGUAUGUGGAUUAAUUCGAUGCAACGCGAAGAACCUUACCUGGGCUUGACAUCAACUGGAAAGCCGUAGA
This 1017-nucleotide ribosomal RNA is filed under the name Candidatus Zixiibacteriota bacterium. RNAcentral describes it as "bacterial SSU rRNA". It matches the Rfam family "Bacterial small subunit ribosomal RNA", at positions 1 to 1004 of the family's 1533-position model. The record is from RNAcentral. Lineage: Bacteria; Pseudomonadati; Candidatus Zixiibacteriota.